This 373-nucleotide ribosomal RNA is filed under the name uncultured Glomeromycotina. Its description in RNAcentral is "LSU rRNA". Lineage: Eukaryota; Fungi; Glomeromycota. The record is from RNAcentral.
UUGAAAGGGAAACGAUUGAAGUCAGUCGUACCUGUGGGUAAUCAGCCUUUUGGGUGUGAUUUUGUGGAGUGUGAGGAGUUAAACGCCUUCAUGCCUGCAUAUUCGUGCACUUUGGGUGUAUUUACCCGUGUGGUAAGUUAACAUCAAUUUCGGUGGUCAUAAAAUGGCUGGAGGAAUGUAGCUUCGAUCUUGUAUUGAAGUGUUAUAGCCUUCGGUAGAUGUGAUGAUCGGGAUUGAGGAUUGCAACGGAUACCCUUCGGGGCUACCUGUCUGAUCUCUGAUCGUUGCUCUGGUGCCGAAAGCUUGCUUACGGUUAUCAAAGUCGAUGGUCAAUAGGUUAGAACGGGUUAAAUUCGUUAAGGAUGUUGACGUA